AACCCUACGGGGGGCAGCAGUGGGGGAUAUUGCACAGUGGGGGGAACCCUGAUGCAGCGACGCCGCGUGGGUGAAGAAGCGCCUCGGCGCGUAAAGCCCUGUCAGCAGGGAAGAAAAUGACGGUACCUGACUAAGAAGCCCCGGCUAACUACGUGCCAGCAGCCGCGGUAAUACGUAGGGGGCAAGCGUUAUCCGGAUUUACUGGGUGGAAAGGGAGCGUAGACGGCUAAUCAAGUCAGAAGUGAAAACCCAGGGCUCAACCUUGGGAGUGCUUUUGAAACUGAGUAGCUAGCGUGCAGGAGAGG
RNAcentral lists this ribosomal RNA (305 nucleotides) under uncultured bacterium. RNAcentral's name for it is "bacterial SSU rRNA". It matches the Rfam family "Bacterial small subunit ribosomal RNA", at positions 335 to 657 of the family's 1533-position model. The record is from RNAcentral.